Ictidomys tridecemlineatus (thirteen-lined ground squirrel) is the source of this 1389-nucleotide non-coding RNA. NCBI's taxonomy places the organism in Eukaryota, Metazoa, Chordata, Mammalia, Rodentia, Sciuridae. The record is from RefSeq and is a predicted model, not a curated record.
UUCCUUCCACUAGGUGACACCCUCUUAAGGGUGGCACCCAUUUAUAACAGCAGCAACUUGACCUCCAAACCUUCAACACAGAAGCCUUUUUGGGGAUACUUAAGAUCCCAAUAAUAACAAUGGCAUUAUGCUGUUCUUCCGAGACAAAAAUGGAAAGAUACCUUCAUAAAUGUAUAUAAUUAGAAAAUAUACAAACCCUGUGUUCUUUCUGAAAGUAAAAUUUGGAAAAAAUUUACUAUUUAUAAAAUAUGAAAUAUAUCAAGAUUAAGAACUGAUGAACUGAAAAGCUGUAGUAUAAAAUUUUAACAGCAUUUACUGAAACCAUUUAAGCAGUUAUGCAACUGUUAUAAAACUAAAUAAUUUUUGAAAAGAAACUUCAAGAUCUGAAAGCAUCAUUUAAUGAAAAUAAUUGCAAUGUAAAAUUCAAGAUUUGAAAUAAAAAGUAAAGUUAAAAAUGGUGAGAAGGAAGACAUUAAAGAAAAAAAAGAGGAACAAAUGCCAUACUCUAUUACAGUUUUAUUCUUCUCUGAUAACUAAACAAAUUUCUUGUGAAAGAUUUUGUAAAUGAAAUAUUUCAAACUUUCAGAAGAGCAUCUUAAAGGAAAACAUAUUCAAUGAUACUUGGUAAAGCUUGGUAAGGAAGACUUUAUCAAGGAACAUUGUGUAGGUAUAGGGCUCACAACAGUGGGAUUUUGCAGUGGUAGAAAGAGCUUGGUUGUAACUCUGAAUACAGGAUGGACAAGUUGGAAUUUAUAGGCAAGGAACAAGGUGGGAAUAAACAGAUGGACAAUGACUAAGAGGAAACAUCAAAGGUAAAGAAGUUUCUGGCUAAACCAACAUAAGAAAAUUAUUGUUGAAGACAACCCAGGGAAAUUGGGCAUCACCUGGGGAAUAAUGGAGGACAAGGAGCCCAGUCAGGCCAUCAUGGGUGAUGAGAUAUUAAAGCCCCUGUUUAUCUGCAGCUUCAGGAAACAGGAGACUGAAGGUCACCUGGGGAAAGAAGAGCAGAGAAAUGAAUUCCAGAUUUCCAGAGAUAAGUGCAUAUUACUUUUUAGGAGGCGACAUGUUUCUUACAGAAUCAAGUAAGAACAAACAAGAAGUGAGUCUUGCAAUUAGAACUGGGCCUUGGAAGAACUGAAUAGAAGAUAUGAGAUUGUUUCUUCUGGAAAAGAUAAAUAAGUAGGUGAUCCUGCCCAGCAGUUGCAGGCGACCUUCUGAAUGACUGGCCCUCCUUGUCUGUCUUCUCAACACCGUGACAGAGGGUGGGAAGAACAUGUGCUAAACUUCUGCUCUCCCCAUAGUCACAGGCAAAAGGGAGAAUGGGUUGUCCCAAUAUCAAUGUCCUUUCCUCCUUAUUCCCAGUAAUUAAAUAUUUUAUUUGAUUAUUAA